CUCCUUUGACGUUAGCGGCGGACGGGUGAGUAACACGUGGGUAACCUACCUAUAAGACUGGGAUAACUUCGGGAAACCGGAGCUAAUACCGGAUAAUAUUUCGAACCGCAUGGUUCGAUAGUGAAAGGUGGUUUUGCUAUCACUUAUAGAUGGACCCGCGCCGUAUUAGCUAGUUGGUAAGGUAACGGUUUACCAAGGCGACGAUACGUAGCCGACCUGAGAGGGUGAUCGGCCACACUGGAACUGAGACACGGUCCAGACUCCUACGGGAGGCAGCAGCC
RNAcentral lists this ribosomal RNA (281 nucleotides) under uncultured Staphylococcus sp. RNAcentral's name for it is "partial 16S ribosomal RNA". It matches the Rfam family "Bacterial small subunit ribosomal RNA", at positions 81 to 355 of the family's 1533-position model. Lineage: Bacteria; Bacillati; Bacillota; Bacilli; Caryophanales; Staphylococcaceae. The record is from RNAcentral.